This 468-nucleotide ribosomal RNA is filed under the name uncultured bacterium. RNAcentral's name for it is "partial 16S ribosomal RNA". It matches the Rfam family "Bacterial small subunit ribosomal RNA", at positions 28 to 507 of the family's 1533-position model. The record is from RNAcentral.
GACGAACGCUGGCGGCGUGCUUAACACAUGCAAGUCGAACGGAAAGGCCCUGCUUUUGUGGGGUGCUCGAGUGGCGAACGGGUGAGUAACACGUGAGUAACCUGCCCUUGACUUUGGGAUAACUUCAGGAAACUGGGGCUCAUACCGGAUAGGAGCUCCUGCUGCAUGGUGGGGGUUGGAAAGUUUCGGCGGUUGGGGAUGGACUCGCGGCUUAUCAGCUUGUUGGUGGGGUAGUGGCUUACCAAGGCUUUGACGGGUAGCCGGCCUGAGAGGGUGACCGGCCACAUUGGGACUGAGGUACGGCCCAGACUCCUACGGGAGGCAGCAGUGGGGAAUAUUGCGCAAUGGGCGGAAGCCUGAUGCAGCAACGCCGCGUGCGGGAUGACGGCCUUCGGGUUGUAAACCGCUUUCGCCUGUGACGAAGCGUGAGUGACGGUAAUGGGUAAAGAAGCACCGGCUAACUACGUG